This is a long non-coding RNA of Vespula pensylvanica (western yellowjacket), 1972 nucleotides long. RefSeq lists it as uncharacterized. The record is from RefSeq and is a predicted model, not a curated record. NCBI's taxonomy places the organism in Eukaryota, Metazoa, Arthropoda, Insecta, Hymenoptera, Vespidae. The transcript is spliced from 5 exons.
CAAAUAUUUUUUUAAUGCAGAAUAAAAAUGUAAUUUGUCUAUCAUACGAGGAAAAUUAGCGCAACGAGCACUGCUAGAAGGUACAACCCAAACAGCUGUAUCUCCUAUGAAUUCUGAUUGUAAUCCAAAAUGAAAGGAUCUGCAGAAGAUCUAGUUGGUCUAGCGACUAUAUUUGUUAAUCCAAUUCCAUAUUGUAAUAACUUGUGAUCUUCUUCAAAACUGAGACAUUUUGGCGUUAAGCCUGAUUCAUAUAAAAGCUUAUAAAAAUGAUUACCAGGACCUGCAUAAUAUUUGCCACGAUGUGCUGCUAUCAAACUUGGAUUUAUACCAACAAAGACUAUAUCAAGAUUUUCCUUGAGAUAAUCAGUGUGUACGAGAUUUAUUAAGAAUACGAGAUAUAUAAUGGUGCUGGAGAUAAUGAGAUAGUAUGUUUGCAUGAUGCAUUUAUACUAAUCUACCUGGUAGAGAGCCACUGAUCGUAUCCAAAUCCUGUUAGUCUUCCGGUCUGUAAAAUCGUUAUUAUGAGCACGAGUCUUAACGGUGGAGCCUCGGAAGCGUUAUGGAAUCGUUAGACAACUCGUCGGCCGGUGAAGAAAGAACGACAAGAAUGUCCUGUGAGAAGGCAUCACGACGCCUAAGAUAUCUGAUCGCAAAGGCCAAAAGAUUGGGUCUAACAACGGAGGAAGUCGCGGAGUUGCCGACGAUAAAGAGACUAGUACCGGGACGCGUUAUGUCGACCACGAGGACGACACUCUUUAUGAUCGUCCUGAUCCUUGGAGGAAGCCUUGUACUUGCUUUCCUUUGUGCCCCUUGCAUCGCCAGAAGCAGAACUUGAGGAAGGAAGAAUACGCUACUACUGCACCGCUAACUCGAGGACGUCUAUGAGAUCUACGAUUCUUUGGAAAUUAAAUAUCCUACACGAUUUUAUUUCAAAAGCGUAUAAAACAAACAAAAAAUCUUACGAACGCUAAUUGUGACGCUAAGAAAUCGGUGAUAAAUGAGUGGCCGUGACGAAGCUAGAACGAUCUUUAUCCCACGGACCAACAAAUUGAUCGGAGGUGUGAUUCGUGGUGAUACUAGAUAUAUAAUAUUUGGUAGUUAUAUAGGAAACAAAAGGAUACACGCAAAAAGGCAGUUCCUUAUUGCGUUAUGACUCGGUUGCUUUUCUCUUACGUUUCUUUUCUUCCUUUUCCUUUCGGUUUCUUGGCCCUCAAAUCAUAAAAGAAACUUUUUAUCAAAGUACUGAAGAAGUACCAGAGAGUAUGUCUUUCGUUUUAUUUUAUUUCAUUUUAUUUGUUUUUUAUUUUAUUUUAUUUAUUUUUUUUUGUUUUUUCUUUAUAGAUAUACUUGUCAGGUUAGUUUAAGUGUAAUACGAGGUGUAGCGUAAAAGUAAUGCGAGAUUUAUAACAUAUAAAAUUAUACCGUAAACUUUUUGUAAUUCCAGGAUUUCCCCUUUUAUGAAAAUAGGUAAACAUUACAUGUAUGCGAAUGUUUCUGAAAGGCCAGAGUUUUGUUAGGAAACGUUGUUUAAUUUACCGUAAACGCUAGGUAUAAAUAAACAACAGCCGGUAAUUAAUAUCACAAUAUAUCAACGUACAUUGAACGAUACAAAAUCCGACUAAAUUCAUUCUGACUAUACGUCGCCUUUAACAAAAUUAAUCCAAUUACUUUUACGCUACACCGCAUAUCUGCGUUGUUUGUUACAUUUGAAAAUGAAAGCAUCGAUAAAUUGGACAAUAUGAUUGUAUAAGUAUAAACGAAUUUCUCCAGGAGUAAUGUCAAUGAUUCGCUCGUGUAUGAUUCGACUAAUUGAAUACAAGAAAAAAGGAUUAAAAAAGUACCUAUCCAAUUGAAUUGUAUAACGCUAAUUAGGAUUUCGCUCGAACCGUACCAAUGAUUUUCGAACGUUUUAUCGGAGUCGUGUGAAACUUUACUUUUAUAUGUGAUCAAAUAAAUUUUUAGGAAAUACAAA